GGUCCCUUCGUCUAUCGGUUAGGACGAAAGAUUCUCAAUCUUUAAAGACGAGUUCGACUCUCGUAGGGACCG
Non-coding RNA from Treponema socranskii subsp. socranskii, 72 nucleotides. NCBI's taxonomy places the organism in Bacteria, Pseudomonadati, Spirochaetota, Spirochaetia, Treponematales, Treponemataceae. The record is from Rfam.